UCUUGUUAAAUAUUUUAAUUUUCUCAAAUGAAAUGCUAAUAAUGUCGUUAUUAAAAAAAAUACUGCAAAGAUUCUGACUUCUAUACAUGUGAACCAAAGCCCCAUUUACAACAUUAAGAAUACAGCAAGUCUGGACGACAUUUUUUAGUGACAUUUUUAGUGAUAUUUUUUAUUAUUAUAAUUUUAUUUUAUUUUUUUGUAGUA
RNAcentral lists this long non-coding RNA (204 nucleotides) under Panax ginseng (ginseng). Its description in RNAcentral is "long non-coding RNA (PGIN_LNC000001)". The record is from RNAcentral. Lineage: Eukaryota; Viridiplantae; Streptophyta; Magnoliopsida; Apiales; Araliaceae.